This 429-nucleotide ribosomal RNA is filed under the name Chloroflexota bacterium. RNAcentral describes it as "Chloroflexi bacterium partial 16S ribosomal RNA". It matches the Rfam family "Bacterial small subunit ribosomal RNA", at positions 355 to 776 of the family's 1533-position model. Lineage: Bacteria; Bacillati; Chloroflexota. The record is from RNAcentral.
UGGGGAAUAUUGCACAAUGGGCGCAAGCCUGAUGCAGCCAUGCCGCGUGUAUGAAGAAGGCCUUCGGGUUGUAAAGUACUUUCAGCGGGGAGGAAGGUGUCAAGGUUAAUAACCUUGGCAAUUGACGUUACCGACAGAAGAAGCACCGGCUAACUCCGUGCCAGCAGCCGCGGUAAUACGGAGGGUGCAAGCGUUAAUCGGAAUUACUGGGCGUAAAGCGCACGCAGGCGGUUGAUUGAGUCAGAUGUGAAAUCCCCGGGCUUAACCCGGGAAUUGCAUCUGAUACUGGUCAGCUAGAGUCUUGUAGAGGGGGGUAGAAUUCCAUGUGUAGCGGUGAAAUGCGUAGAGAUGUGGAGGAGUACCGGUGGCGAAGGCGGCCCCCUGGACAAAGACUGACGCUCAGGUGCGAAAGCGUGGGGAGCAAACAGG